RNAcentral lists this ribosomal RNA (771 nucleotides) under uncultured bacterium. Its description in RNAcentral is "bacterial SSU rRNA". It matches the Rfam family "Bacterial small subunit ribosomal RNA", at positions 8 to 796 of the family's 1533-position model. The record is from RNAcentral.
AGAGUUUGAUCCUGGCUCAGGACGAACGCUGGCGGCGUGCUUAACACAUGCAAGUCGAGCGGAAAGGCCCUUCGGGGUACUCGAGCGGCGAACGGGUGAGUAACACGUGAGCAACCUGCCCCAUGCUUUGGGAUAACCCUCGGAAACGGGGGCUAAUACCGAAUAUUCACUACUGAUCGCAUGUUUGGUGGUGGAAAGUUUUUCGGCGUGGGAUGGGCUCGCGGCCUAUCAGCUUGUUGGUGGGGUAAUGGCCUACCAAGGCGACGACGGGUAGCCGGCCUGAGAGGGCGACCGGCCACACUGGGACUGAGACACGGCCCAGACUCCUACGGGAGGCAGCAGUGGGGAAUAUUGCACAAUGGGCGGAAGCCUGAUGCAGCGACGCCGCGUGAGGGAUGACGGCCUUCGGGUUGUAAACCUCUUUCAGCAGGGACGAAGCGCAAGUGACGGUACCUGCAGAAGAAGCGCCGGCCAACUACGUGCCAGCAGCCGCGGUAAGACGUAGGGCGCGAGCGUUGUCCGGAAUUAUUGGGCGUAAAGAGCUCGUAGGCGGCUUGUCGCGUCGACUGUGAAAACCCGCGGCUCAACCGCGGGCCUGCAGUCGAUACGGGCAGGCUAGAGUUCGGUAGGGGAGACUGGAAUUCCUGGUGUAGCGGUGAAAUGCGCAGAUAUCAGGAGGAACACCGAUGGCGAAGGCAGGUCUCUGGGCCGAUACUGACGCUGAGGAGCGAAAGCGUGGGGAGCGAACAGGAUUAGAUACCCUAGUAGUCC